Molecule: long non-coding RNA, 128 nt
Filed under: Acanthaster planci (crown-of-thorns starfish)
Lineage: Eukaryota; Metazoa; Echinodermata; Asteroidea; Valvatida; Acanthasteridae
Description: uncharacterized LOC110990912
Source: RNAcentral
UCUACUCAAGGCAGAUUGAAGAGAUUGUUUGGCUGAAAAAUUAGUUUCCCUAGUUUCAGUAGUUUGACAGAGAGACAAGAACAAGCUAGUCCCUGGAGGCCGUUCUCUGGAGUGUAACAAAUCAGAGA